Molecule: long non-coding RNA, 369 nt
Filed under: Setaria viridis
Lineage: Eukaryota; Viridiplantae; Streptophyta; Magnoliopsida; Poales; Poaceae
Description: long non-coding RNA (SVIR_LNC002567)
Source: RNAcentral
GGGAGAAUGUAUCAGCUGCUGAUCUUAGUCUGGGGCCAAAGCUCUUCCACCUCCAGGUCGCACUGGAGCAUUUCAAGGGCUGGAAGAUCCCGGAGAACCUGACCAGCGUUCAUGCCUACACCCAGGUACGCAAGUGCUCAAUUGAUUGCACUUCACUAUCAGUUCGAUAAAACCUGUCCAGAAUCCAAUAAUCGAGAUCGCGUUUGUCUUUGUGCAGGCUCUUUUCAGCCGCGAAUCUUUUGUGAAGACUAAGCCAACCAAGGAGCACCUGAUUGCAGGAUGGGCACCCAAGGUGAACGCGUAAGCGCCCAUCCCCCCUUGUGCUUUGGUGCUACCUGGUGGACACCAUCUGUUUAUCUGAUCAGUCUC